RNAcentral lists this ribosomal RNA (468 nucleotides) under uncultured bacterium. RNAcentral's name for it is "partial 16S ribosomal RNA". It matches the Rfam family "Bacterial small subunit ribosomal RNA", at positions 28 to 507 of the family's 1533-position model. The record is from RNAcentral.
GACGAACGCUGGCGGCGUGCUUAACACAUGCAAGUCGAACGGAAAGGCCCUGCUUUUGUGGGGUGCUCGAGUGGCGAACGGGUGAGUAACACGUGAGUAACCUGCCCUUGACUUUGGGAUAACUUCAGGAAACUGGGGCUAAUACCGGAUAGGAGCUCCUGCUGCAUGGUGGGGGUUGGAAAGUUUCGGCGGUUGGGGAUGGACUCGCGGCUUAUCAGCUUGUUGGUGGGGUAGUGGCUUACCAAGGCUUUGACGGGUAGCCGGCCUGAGAGGGUGACCGGCCACAUUGGGACGGAGAUACGGCCCAGACUCCAACGGGAGGCAGCAGUGGGGAAUAUUGCACAAUGGGCGGAAGCCUGAUGCAGCAACGCCGCGUGCGGGAUGACGGCCUUCGGGUUGUAAACCGCUUUCGCCUGUGACGAAGCGUGAGUGACGGUAAUGGGUAAAGAAGCACCGGCUAACUACGUG